UGAGUAACACGUAUGCAAUCCACCUGUAACAGGGGGAUAACCCGGAGAAAUCCGGACUAAUACCCCAUAAUAUGGGCGCUCCGCAUGGAGAGUCCAUUAAAGAGAGCAAUCUUGGUUACAGACGAGCAUGCGCUCCAUUAGCCAGUUGGCGGGGUAACGGCCCACCAAGGCGACGAUGGAUAGGGGUUCUGAGAGGAAGGUCCCCCACAUUGGAACUGAGACACGGCCCAA
This 231-nucleotide ribosomal RNA is filed under the name uncultured bacterium. RNAcentral's name for it is "partial 16S ribosomal RNA". It matches the Rfam family "Bacterial small subunit ribosomal RNA", at positions 107 to 334 of the family's 1533-position model. The record is from RNAcentral.